This 645-nucleotide ribosomal RNA is filed under the name uncultured Actinomycetes bacterium. RNAcentral's name for it is "bacterial SSU rRNA". It matches the Rfam family "Bacterial small subunit ribosomal RNA", at positions 231 to 885 of the family's 1533-position model. Lineage: Bacteria; Bacillati; Actinomycetota; Actinomycetes. The record is from RNAcentral.
UCGCGGCCUAUCAGCUUGUUGGCGGGGUAACGGCCCACCAAGGCUACGACGGGUAGCCGGCCUGAGAGGGCGACCGGCCACACUGGGACUGAGACACGGCCCAGACUCCUACGGGAGGCAGCAGUGGGGAAUAUUGCGCAAUGGGCGAAAGCCUGACGCAGCGACGCCGCGUGAGGGACGAAGGUCUUCGGAUUGUAAAUCUCUUUCAGCAGGGACGAAGCGAAAGUGACUGUACCUGCAGAAGAAGCACCGGCUAACUACGUGCCAGCAGCCGCGGUAAUACGUAGGGUGCAAGCGUUGUCCGGAUUUAUUGGGCGUAAAGAGCUCGUAGGCGGUUUGUCGCGUCGGAUGUGAAAACCCAAUGGCUUAACCUUGGGCCUGCAUUCGAUACGGGCAAACUAGAGUGUGGUAGGGGAGACUGGAACUCCUGGUGUAGCGGUGGAAUGCGCAGAUAUCAGGAAGAACACCGAUGGCGAAGGCAGGUCUCUGGGCCAUAACUGACGCUGAGGAGCGAAAGCGUGGGGAGCGAACAGGAUUAGAUACCCUGGUAGUCCAUGCCGUAAACGUUGGGCACUAGGUGUGGGGAGCAUCCCACGUUUUCCGCGCCGUAGCUAACGCAUUAAGUGCCCCGCCUGGGGAGUACGG